This is a small nucleolar RNA of Macaca fascicularis (crab-eating macaque), 100 nucleotides long. NCBI's taxonomy places the organism in Eukaryota, Metazoa, Chordata, Mammalia, Primates, Cercopithecidae. The record is from Ensembl.
AACAAAGGAUGCUAAGCAUGAUGAUUGGAUUUUCAUGCUCAUGUGUGAGAUGUGCCUCCUUCAAACUCUGUUACCAUGUCUGCACAUUACCUAUCUGACA